UACGGGGGGAGCAAGCGUUGUUCGGAUUCAUUGGGCGUAAAGGGUGCGUAGGCGGCGCGGUAAGUCGGGUGUGAAAUCUCGGAGCUUAACUCCGAAACUGCAUUCGAUACUGCCUUGCUCGAGGACUCGAGAGGAGAUUGGAAUUCACGGUGUAGCAGUGAAAUGCGUAGAGAUUUGGAGGAACACCAGUGGCGAAGGCGGGUCUCUGGACAGUUCCUGACGCUGAGGCACGAAGGUCAGGGGAGCAAACGGG
Molecule: ribosomal RNA, 253 nt
Filed under: uncultured bacterium
Lineage: Bacteria
Description: partial 16S ribosomal RNA
Rfam family: Bacterial small subunit ribosomal RNA
Source: RNAcentral